UCCUUUGCUGCUCUGAUCUAAAAGGAGCUGUGACUAAUUGUGGCCAGGUCUUUCUAGUGUAGAAAGGCUGCUUUAGGCCCUCUGCUUCUUUUCUGUUGGCCACAAGAGACAUUCUGGUGCUCACGAUGGCCAAAGGUUGUAGAAAAUUUCCUUGAUACUCUCUGAAACACGCACAUAAAGAGAAAGAUUGCGGGGCUGAGUUUCUGUAUUAAGGUGAGGGAGGUUUGCAGUCUUCAGUCCUCCAGCUGUGACUUGGGCAGCCAAACACAGCCAUUAUCUCAGCAGGCUUGUGAGGGAGACUUCAGCAGAAGCUAUUCAUGCGUUGAGGAAACUCUGAACGGCCUUACAGGGUAAAAGCACAGAAGAGGGGGACGAAGAGGCUGGGAUGAAAUGGGGCAGAUACAAGAACGGGGGCAACUAAGGGAACAUCCCACCUGCUGUAUCCCUGAUCCAGCCACGCCCAGCCGCCCCAGCCAAGCAGGAAGCUGUGUACACCACAGUGACGGUGUUGUCCUGGGGACAUAGCAGCGUCACAGGCAGAUCCACCUAUGAGGGACAGGGCACCUCUCAACCCAGAGGUCAGAGUCUGGAACAGACAGAUGCCUCGUUCCUGCUCUGUCCCUGCCAUGGGUCCCAGGCUUCUCUACUGUGUGGCCCUUGGUCUCCUUGGAGCAGGUCCCAUGGGUGCCAUGGUCACUCAGAACCCAAGAUACCAGGUUACCAGACGGGGCACACCUGUGAACCUGAGUUGUUUUCAGAAUAUGAAUCAUGAUGCUAUGUACUGGUACCAACAGAAGCCGAGCCAAGCACCAAAACUGCUGUUUUACUACUAUGAUGAGGUUUUGAACAGUGAGAAAGACACCUCGGAAAACUUCAAAGGCAGCCGGCCUAACCCUUCUUUCUGUUCCCUUGGCAUCCGCUCGCCAGACCUGGGGGACUCCGCCGUGUAUCUCUGUGCCAGCAGCAGAGACACAGAGCUGAAACCUUGCCUCUCUUCUGCUCAUAAACCUGUUUCCCAGAUCCGAUAGCCUCCUGCAGACCCCCCCCCCCCCACAACCAUGAAAGGAAGUGGGUUUAUGGCUCUCAUGAUCUCUGCUGUAGAAAGAAGUUGGGCCUCAACCUACAAAGCCCAUUGACAGUUAGGCCAAGAGUCAAAAAGUGGUUAUUCUUACCCGACCUUUAGUUUGUGGUAAUUUCCCAGAAUCACCUUAAUCAACCAUUCUCUUUCUUCAAUAGAUCCAUAGGAACUUUUUUUCUUAGGUUUUUUUUUUUUUUCUUUUCCAAAUCUAAGUUGGAGACUUAGAAAUAUGUUAAAAGGCAGGCCCAGGCAAGAGGUCACCCCACUUUCCUGAAUGUCUUUUUCUUAAGAAAGUGCCUCCAGGAGUUUCCUGCCCUGGCUCAGUGAUUAAUGAACCCAAUUAGUAUCCAUGAGGAGGAGGG
Non-coding RNA from Sus scrofa (pig), 1440 nucleotides. Lineage: Eukaryota; Metazoa; Chordata; Mammalia; Artiodactyla; Suidae. The record is from the annotation of a RefSeq genome assembly.